GUUGACUGCAUGCUUGCAUCCGCUGACGACCGGCGCACGGGUGCGUAACGCGUAUACAAUCUACCUUUUGCUGCGGGAUAGCCCAGAGAAAUUUGGAUUAACACCGCAUGGUAUGUAUUUAUGGCAUCAUAGAUACAUUAAAGGUUACGGCAAAAGAUGAGUAUGCGUUCUAUUAGCUAGAUGGUAAGGUAACGGCUUACCAUGGCCACGAUAGAUAGGGGCCCUGAGAGGGGGAUCCCCCACACUGGUACUGAGACACGGACCAGACUCCUACGAGAGGCAGCAGUGAGGAAUAUUGGACAAUGGAGGGAACUCUGAUCCAGCCAUGCCGCGUGCAGGAAGACUGCCCUAUGGGUUGUAAACUGCUUUUAUACAGGAAGAAUAAGACCUACGUGUAGGUUGAUGACGGUACUGUAAGAAUAAGCACCGGCUAACUCCGUGCCAGCAGUCGCGGUAAUACGGAGGGUGCAAGCGUUAUCCGGAAUCAUUGGGUUUAAAGGGUCCGUAGGCGGGUUAAUAAGUCAGUGGUGAAAGUCUGCAGCUCAACUGUAGAAUUGCCAUUGAUACUGUUAGUCUUGAAUUACUAUGAAGUAGUUAGAAUAUGUAGUGUAGCGGUGAAAUGCAUAGAUAUUACAUAGAAUACCAAUUGCGAAGGCAGGCUACUAAUAGUAUAUUGACGCUGAUGGACGAAAGCGUGGGUAGCGAACAGGAUUAGAUACCCUGGUAGUCCACGCCGUAAACGAUGGUCACUAGCUGUUCGGACUUCGGUCUGAGUGGCUAAGCGAAAGUGAUAAGUGACCCACCUGGGGAGUACGUUCGCAAGAAUGAAACUCAAAGGAAUUGACGGGGGCCCGCACAAGCGGUGGAGCAUGUGGUUUAAUUCGAUAAUACGCGAGGAACCUUACCAAGGCUUAAAUGUAGAUUGACAGGUCUAGAGAUAGAUUU
Molecule: ribosomal RNA, 945 nt
Filed under: uncultured bacterium
Lineage: Bacteria
Description: bacterial SSU rRNA
Rfam family: Bacterial small subunit ribosomal RNA
Source: RNAcentral